This 1656-nucleotide ribosomal RNA is filed under the name Escherichia coli. RNAcentral's name for it is "partial 23S ribosomal RNA". It matches the Rfam family "Bacterial large subunit ribosomal RNA", at positions 1296 to 2925 of the family's 2925-position model. The record is from RNAcentral. Lineage: Bacteria; Pseudomonadati; Pseudomonadota; Gammaproteobacteria; Enterobacterales; Enterobacteriaceae.
GCUGACAUAAGUAACGAUAAAGCGGGUGAAAAGCCCGCUCGCCGGAAGACCAAGGGUUCCUGUCCAACGUUAAUCGGGGCAGGGUGAGUCGACCCCUAAGGCGAGGCCGAAAGGCGUAGUCGAUGGGAAACAGGUUAAUAUUCCUGUACUUGGUGUUACUGCGAAGGGGGGACGGAGAAGGCUAUGUUGGCCGGGCGACGGUUGUCCCGGUUUAAGCGUGUAGGCUGAUUUUCCAGGUAAAUCCGGAAAAUCAAGGCUGAGGCGUGAUGACGAGGCACUACGGUGCUGAAGCAACAAAUGCCCUGCUUCCAGGAAAAGCCUCUAAGCAUCAGGUAACAUCAAAUCGUACCCCAAACCGACACAGGUGGUCAGGUAGAGAAUACCAAGGCGCUUGAGAGAACUCGGGUGAAGGAACUAGGCAAAAUGGUGCCGUAACUUCGGGAGAAGGCACGCUGAUACGUAGGUGAAGUCCCUUGCGGAUGGAGCUGAAAUCAGUCGAAGAUACCAGCUGGCUGCAACUGUUUAUUAAAAACACAGCACUGUGCAAACACGAAAGUGGACGUAUACGGUGUGACGCCUGCCCGGUGCCGGAAGGUUAAUUGAUGGGGUUAGCGGUAACGCGAAGCUCUUGAUCGAAGCCCCGGUAAACGGCGGCCGUAACUAUAACGGUCCUAAGGUAGCGAAAUUCCUUGUCGGGUAAGUUCCGACCUGCACGAAUGGCGUAAUGAUGGCCAGGCUGUCUCCACCCGAGACUCAGUGAAAUUGAACUCGCUGUGAAGAUGCAGUGUACCCGCGGCAAGACGGAAAGACCCCGUGAACCUUUACUAUAGCUUGACACUGAACAUUGAGCCUUGAUGUGUAGGAUAGGUGGGAGGCUUUGAAGUGUGGACGCCAGUCUGCAUGGAGCCGACCUUGAAAUACCACCCUUUAAUGUUUGAUGUUCUAACGUUGGCCCCUAAUCGGGGUUGCGGACAGUGUCUGGUGGGUAGUUUGACUGGGGCGGUCUCCUCCUAAAGAGUAACGGAGGAGCACGAAGGUUGGCUAAUCCUGGUCGGACAUCAGGAGGUUAGUGCAAUGGCAUAAGCCAGCUUGACUGCGAGCGUGACGGCGCGAGCAGGUGCGAAAGCAGGUCAUAGUGAUCCGGUGGUUCUGAAUGGAAGGGCCAUCGCUCAACGGAUAAAAGGUACUCCGGGGAUAACAGGCUGAUACCGCCCAAGAGUUCAUAUCGACGGCGGUGUUUGGCACCUCGAUGUCGGCUCAUCACAUCCUGGGGCUGAAGUAGGUCCCAAGGGUAUGGCUGUUCGCCAUUUAAAGUGGUACGCGAGCUGGGUUUAGAACGUCGUGAGACAGUUCGGUCCCUAUCUGCCGUGGGCGCUGGAGAACUGAGGGGGGCUGCUCCUAGUACGAGAGGACCGGAGUGGACGCAUCACUGGUGUUCGGGUUGUCAUGCCAAUGGCACUGCCCGGUAGCUAAAUGCGGAAGAGAUAAGUGCUGAAAGCAUCUAAGCACGAAACUUGCCCCGAGAUGAGUUCUCCCUGACUCCUUGAGAGUCCUGAAGGAACGUUGAAGACGACGACGUUGAUAGGCCGGGUGUGUAAGCGCAGCGAUGCGUUGAGCUAACCGGUACUAAUGAACCGUGAGGCUUAACCUUACAAC